This 254-nucleotide ribosomal RNA is filed under the name uncultured bacterium. RNAcentral's name for it is "partial 16S ribosomal RNA". It matches the Rfam family "Bacterial small subunit ribosomal RNA", at positions 524 to 777 of the family's 1533-position model. The record is from RNAcentral.
UACGGAGGGAGCUAGCGUUGUUCGGAAUUACUGGGCGUAAAGCGCACGUAGGCGGCUCAGCAAGUCAGGGGUGAAAUCCCGGGGCUCAACCCCGGAACUGCCCUUGAAACUGCUAAGCUAGAAUCUUAGAGAGGCGAGUGGAAUUCCGAGUGUAGAGGUGAAAUUCGUAGAUAUUCGGAAGAACACCAGUGGCGAAGGCGACUCGCUGGACAAGUAUUGACGCUGAGGUGCGAAAGCGUGGGGAGCAAACAGGG